GCUGCCGGACUCCGGUUGCCAGCGGAAGCAGUCGCAGGGGUGAGGUCGCCAGUGCCCCGACCGUCGUCCCCAGCAAGGGGCAACAACGCCUGAGGCCUGCUCUCCGGCCGUCUUCCCCGCAGCGAGGGGUGGCACGGAGCUGCAGCAGCAGAAAGGGCAUGGACGCCAGGGCCCUGGCGUGGGCGUGGCUGCCGGGGUUCGGCCGCCGGCAUAGGCAGCUGCGGCAGGGUUGAGGCCUCCUCAUGGUUGUGGGGCAGGAAGAGGGGCAACUCACUUAGGGAUGCAGCAUCAGUAGCUUAUCCUCAGGUGUUUGCUCCUCACCAUGGAUUGGCCAUAAGAAAAACAUUUGCUGCUGGAAUGUACGUGCUUACCUCAAAGUCCGCUGUUGAAGAAAUUGAAUGAAGAUGGUCUGCAAUGAAUCCAGCUGAGAUGGAUGCUGCUUCUGGGAGAAGAGUACAUUUCUGGAACUUCUGUUGUCUCUGGAACCAAUGAUAACAUGAAUGUUAUUUGAUAAUUUAUUGUUUCUAUUACCAUGGCAUGAAUGUAAAUCUGAAAUUGUAUUUGAUUGGUUGAUAAAUUUUGUAUGUAUUGUAGGCUGAAUUGAUCAUUCUGAUAAAUGGGAUGAAUUUG
This is a long non-coding RNA of Setaria italica (foxtail millet), 630 nucleotides long. RefSeq lists it as uncharacterized. The transcript has 3 exons. NCBI's taxonomy places the organism in Eukaryota, Viridiplantae, Streptophyta, Magnoliopsida, Poales, Poaceae. The record is from RefSeq and is a predicted model, not a curated record.